RNAcentral lists this ribosomal RNA (324 nucleotides) under uncultured eukaryote. RNAcentral describes it as "partial 18S ribosomal RNA". It matches the Rfam family "Eukaryotic small subunit ribosomal RNA", at positions 1470 to 1796 of the family's 1831-position model. The record is from RNAcentral.
CCCUUAGAUGUUCUGGGCCGCACGCGCGCUACACUGAUGCAUUCAACGAGCCUAUCCUUGACCGACAGGUCCGGGUAAUCUUUGAAUCUGCAUCGUGACGGGGAUAGAUUAUUGCAAUUAUUAAUCUUCAACGAGGAAUGCCUAGUAGGCGCAAGUCAUCAGCUUGCGUCGAUUACGUCCCUGCCCUUUGUACACACCGCCCGUCGCACCUACCGAUUGAAUGGUCCGGUGAGGACUCGGGAUUGUGGUUUAGCUCCUUCAUUGGGGCCUGACUGCGAGAACUUGUCCGAACCUUAUCAUUUAGAGGAAGGUGAAGUCGUAACA